UGCACGCAUCGUGCUGUGUGGGAUUAGAAAUUAUCUAAUAAUCAUAAGCUGUUAUCAAAACAGCUACAACAAAGCAAGGCAUCACCAGGGGAAAACAUUCUGUUUCACAAGAUGUAAAGAACAAUUGCGCAAAGGUAUCUAUCUCCCGAUUUCUGUUCUCUGUGACAGCAUAUAAAAGUGCUCAUAGCUCGGGUCUCUGUAGCUGCCUCCACUGACUUAUUCUUCUUGGUGACUGGGUUGAUUACCUUCUGGAAAGAUGUCUUCCUAUGGACAGAUGCUUAGUGCCCGUUGUGGUCCACCGUGUGAAGUGACAUGCUCACAACCAUUUGUCGACAGUAGGAAUGAACCAUGUGUCAGCUCAUGCGGAGAUUCAAGAGCAAUUGUGUAUGCACCACCUGUUGUCGUGACUUUCCCAGGACCCAUUAUCAGCUCAUGCCCUCAGGAAAGCAUUGUGGGAACUGCCAUACCUGAAAUUGAGGGUCAGAUGGGCUCUGGAGGUGGCGGAAUGGGCUCUGGAGGUGGUGGAAUGGGAUCUGGAGGUGGCGGAAUGGGCUCUGGAGGUGGCGGAAUGGGAGAGUGUCCACAUGGUGGGGGGAGCUCAUGUGGCAGUGGAAUCUUCCCUUUAGGAAGCUUUUACCGAAACACAUAUUUUUCAAGAUUUGGUAGAUAUUAUUCCCCCUUUUCUCCCAGAGGAUACUAUAGGUAUCGCUAUGGAAACUACGGGCCAUUUUAAAUCUUUAAGAACGAGUCAUGACUGAAAGAACAAUCAGAUACAAACUAAUAGUUGACAUAUAGAUCUGAAAAUCAGACACACCAAGCAGCCUCUGCUCCAGCUGAUGUCAGUAGGAGCCGGGGUUGCUUGGGAUCUUCUUGCGCUAUGUUAUGUCUAAGGCUUAUGAUCCCAAUGUUGCCUCACUUUGUCAUUUGCUCAUGUUAUGUUUUGUUCUUUCUGAACCUGAAGAGACUAAGAAAUGUAAUGGGACCUGACCGUGAAAGUGUCUAGCUGAAAGAAGAAUGGAUUGUGAGCCCUGUGCUCCUCUGAACACUGAUUGAUUGUAGUCCUUGUUGAAAUGGAAAUGACAGUCUUUGUCUAUGCAUUGCCUCAUUCUGCAAGAAUGUAUUCCACUUCUUGUUUGUAUUAAAGCCCUGUUGCAUCAUA
Columba livia (rock pigeon) is the source of this 1159-nucleotide RNA transcript. RefSeq lists it as uncharacterized. The record is from RefSeq and is a predicted model, not a curated record. NCBI's taxonomy places the organism in Eukaryota, Metazoa, Chordata, Aves, Columbiformes, Columbidae. The transcript has 2 exons.